GGUGGCUUAGUGGUAGAGUGCUUGCCUAGCAUGCAUGAAGCCCUGGGUUCGAUUCCUCAGCACCA
Molecule: non-coding RNA, 65 nt
Organism: Dipodomys ordii (Ord's kangaroo rat)
Lineage: Eukaryota; Metazoa; Chordata; Mammalia; Rodentia; Heteromyidae
Source: Rfam